Molecule: ribosomal RNA, 474 nt
Filed under: uncultured organism
Description: partial 16S ribosomal RNA
Rfam family: Bacterial small subunit ribosomal RNA
Source: RNAcentral
ACGUACGCUCCUACGGGAGGCAGCAGUGAGGAAUAUUGGACAAUGGGUGGAAGCCUGAUCCAGCCAUCCCGCGUGCAGGAAGACGGCCCUAUGGGUUGUAAACUGCUUUUAUCUGGGGAUAAACCUACUUACGUGUAAGUAGCUGAAGGUACCAGAAGAAUAAGCACCGGCUAACUCCGUGCCAGCAGCCGCGGUAAUACGGAGGGUGCAAGCGUUAUCCGGAUUUAUUGGGUUUAAAGGGUCCGUAGGCGGACUGAUAAGUCAGUGGUGAAAUCCGACAGCUUAACUGUCGAACUGCCAUUGAUACUGUUAGUCUUGAGUAAGGUUGAAGUGGCUGGAAUAAGUAGUGUAGCGGUGAAAUGCAUAGAUAUUACUUAGAACACCAAUUGCGAAGGCAGGUCACUAAGUCUUAACUGACGCUGAUGGACGAAAGCGUGGGGAGCGAACAGGAUUAGAAACCCCUGUAGUCCCAUG